AAUAAGGUGCCUGAAUAAAGGGUUAUUUUGAUAGAAUAAAUUAUGUAAAUUACUUACCCUUAUUA
Molecule: transfer RNA, 65 nt
Filed under: Oreodytes scitulus
Lineage: Eukaryota; Metazoa; Arthropoda; Insecta; Coleoptera; Dytiscidae
Description: tRNA-Ile
Source: RNAcentral